Molecule: small RNA, 476 nt
Filed under: Pongo abelii (Sumatran orangutan)
Lineage: Eukaryota; Metazoa; Chordata; Mammalia; Primates; Hominidae
Description: retained intron
Source: RNAcentral
ACCUCGGUAUUCAGACCUGCACAUCAGUCAGACGCUCCCCAAAACCAACAAAAUCAACAAGGACCACAUCCCUGUCCCUUACCAGCCAGACUCCAGCAGCAACCCCUCCUCCACGACGUCCUCCACGCCCUCCUCGCCAGCACCCCCCCUCCCUCCUAGUGCCACGCCGCCUUCUCCCCUACACCCUUCCCCGCAGUGCACACGGCAGCAGAAGAACUUCAACCUGCCAGGUACCUCCAUGCUUGGGGAGACAUGGGGGGUGCAGCCUUGGAGGGGCAGAGAUUAGGGAGAGGGUGGGUUCACACCAGAGCCCUGAUGCAGCAAGUCUCUGCUGGAAAGCGAAUGGGUCAAUGACCAGAGAGGGGCAAAGAAGUAUGUGGACUGACCCUUAUCGUAUCCUAAGCAAUUACCCUAUAUCACUUAUUUAAUCUUUGGAACAGCCACAAGGUAAGCAUUAUCAUCUCAUUUUACAGAUG